GUCCACGCUGUAAACGAUGACAACUAGAUGUGGGUGGAUUUUAUCCGCACGUGUCGAAGCUAACGCGAUAAGUUGUCCGCCUGGGGAGUACGGUCGCAAGACUAAAACUCAAAGGAAUUGACGGGGGCCCGCACAAGCGGUGGAACAUGGGGUUUAAUUCGAUGCAACGCGAAGAACCUUACCUACCUUUGAAUCCACGGAAUCCUAUAGAGAUAUAGGAGUGCCUUCGGGAACCGUGAGACAGGUGCUGCAUGGCUGUCGU
This 262-nucleotide ribosomal RNA is filed under the name uncultured bacterium. RNAcentral's name for it is "partial 16S ribosomal RNA". It matches the Rfam family "Bacterial small subunit ribosomal RNA", at positions 793 to 1055 of the family's 1533-position model. The record is from RNAcentral.